RNAcentral lists this ribosomal RNA (2189 nucleotides) under human gut metagenome. RNAcentral's name for it is "bacterial LSU rRNA". It matches the Rfam family "Bacterial large subunit ribosomal RNA", at positions 3 to 2282 of the family's 2925-position model. The record is from RNAcentral.
UUAAGCUAAUAAGAGCGCAGGGAGGAUGCCUUGGCAUCAGGAGCCGAAGAAGGACGUGGUAAGCUGCGAAAAGCUACGGGGAUUGGCAAGCACGAUAUGAUCCGUAGAUAUCCGAAUGGAGCAAUCCACAUGGAGUCAAGUCCAUGUAUCAUAUACUGAAUAAAUAGGUAUAUGAGGGGAACCGCCCGAACUGAAACAUCUAAGUAGGGCGAGGAAAAGAAAUCAACCGAGAUUCUGUGAGUAGUGGCGAGCGAAAGCGGAAGAGGCUAAACCGAGAGGAGCAAUCCUUUCGGGGUUUAGGACUGCAUUUAGUACAAUGAUUGUUAACCGAACAGCAUGGGAAGGCUGAUCAAAGAAGGUGAGAAUCCUGUAGGUGAAAAUGAAAGUUGACGAGCAGUAUCCAAAGUACCGCGGGGCACGUGAAAUCCCGUGGGAAGAUGGGGGGACCAUCCUCCAAGCCUAAAUACUACCUGAUGACCGAUAGCGAAUAGUACUGUGAAGGAAAGGUGAAAAGCACCCCGGGAGGGGAGUGAAAUAGAACCUGAAACCCUGUGCUUACAAGCACUUAGAGCACGUCAAAGUGUGAUAAGGUACCUAUUGUAGAAUGGUCCGGCGAGUUAUUGUAUGCAGCGAGGUUAAGUAGUUCAGCUACGGAGCCGAAGUGAGAGCGAGUGUUAACAGCACGUUCAGUUGCAUGCAAUAGACCCGAAACCGGGUGACCUAUCCAUGUCCAGGAUGAAGUGAGGGUAAAACCUCAUGGAGGUCCGAACCCACUCCCGUUGAAAUGGUAGGGGAUGAGGUGUGGAUAGCGGAGAAAUUCCAAUCGAACCCGGAUAUAGCUGGUUCUCCCCGAAAUAGUUUUAGGACUAGCCUCGUGAUUAAGAUUAUCGGAGGUAAAGCACUGAAUGGCCUAGGGGUCGAGAGAUUACCGAAGCCUAUCAAACUCUGAAUGCCGAAUAAUCAUGCACGGGAGUCAGACUGUGUGAGAUAAGUUUCAUAGUCGAAAGGGAAACAGCCCAGACCUACAGCUAAGGUCCCAAAGUACGUUUAAGUGGAAAACGAUGUGAAAUUGCGUAGACAACCAGGAUGUUGGCUUAGAAGCAGCCAUACAUUAAAAGAGUGCGUAAUAGCUCACUGGUCGAGUGACUUUGCGCGGAAAAUUUAACGGGGCUAAAACGUACACCGAAGCUUAGGCUUGCAACAAUGUUGCAGGGGUAGGGGAGCGUUGAAUGAGGGGUGAAGUCGUAGCGAAAGCGACGGUGGACUUCAUUCAAGUGAGAAUGCCGGAAUGAGUAGCGAGAAUUAUGUGAGAAUCAUAAUGGCCGAAAGCCUAAGGUUUUUGGAGGAAGGUUCGUCCGCUCCAAGUAAGUCGGAAGCUAAGGUGAGGCUGAAAAGCGUAGCCGAUGCACAAACGGUUGAAAUUCCGUUACCACAGAAAGAUUUAAACUAAGGGACACUUUUGAAGAGCUGAUGCCGGGUGUUGGUUACCCCGGUCGUAAGGGAACGAAAUUAAGUAGUGAAGUCAGCGUGGAUGAAGGCGAGAAAAGCUUAGUGUAUAUCUUAUGUGUCCGUACCGCAAACCGACACAGGUAGGUAGGAAGAGAAUUCUAAGGCCAACGGGAGAAGGGUAGUUAAGGAACUCGGCAAAAUGUCCCCGUAACUUCGGAAUAAGGGGAGGUUUCUACGGAAACCCGCAGAGAAUAGUCCCAGGCAACUGUUUAUCAAAAACACAGCUCUAUGCUAAAUCGAAAGAUGACGUAUAUGGGGUGACGCCUGCCCGGUGCCGGAAGGUUAAGAGGAGGAGUGAGAGCCCUGAAUUGAAGCCCCGGUAAACGGCGGCCGUAACUAUAACGGUCCUAAGGUAGCGAAAUUCCUUGUCAGGUAAGUUCUGACCCGCACGAAUGGCGUAAUGAUCUGGGAGCUGUCUCAACUGCCCGCCCGGCGAAAUUGUAGUACCGGUGAAGAUGCCGGUUACCCGCGACUAGACGGAAAGACCCCAUGGAGCUUUACUGUAGCUUAAUAUUGGAUUUCGGCAUUUCAUGUACAGGAUAGGUGGGAGACUAGGAAACAUAGGCGUCAGCUUAUGCGGAGUCGUCCUUGGGAUACCACUCUUGGAGUGCUGAAAUUCUAACCUGCAGCCCUGAAUCGGGUUGGGGGACAUUGUUAGGUGGGCAGUUUGACUGGGGCGG